This 785-nucleotide ribosomal RNA is filed under the name uncultured organism. RNAcentral's name for it is "bacterial SSU rRNA". It matches the Rfam family "Bacterial small subunit ribosomal RNA", at positions 77 to 839 of the family's 1533-position model. The record is from RNAcentral.
AGCUCGCUAGAGAAAGUAAGUGGCGCAGGGUGAGUACGCGUGGGUAAUCUGCUCCGAAUCGGUGAUAACAUUGCGAAAGCGAUGCUAAUACCGGAUAAAAUCUGGUUGGCUACGGUGAACCGGAUCAAAGGUGGUCUCUUUAUAAAAGCUAGCGUUUGGAGAUGAGCUCGCGUACCAUUAGCUAGUUGGUGAGGUAAAGGCUCACCAAUGCGACGAUGGUUAGCUGGUCUGAGAGGAUGAUCAGCCACACCGGAACUGGAACACGGUCCGGACUCCUACGGGAGGCAGCAGUGAGGAAUAUUGCGCAAUGGGGGAAACCCUGACGCAGCAACGCCGCGUGAGUGAUGAAGGCUUUCGGGUCGUAAAGCUCUGUCAGGUGGGAAGAACCCACCAAGUGUUAAGACCACUUGGUGCUGACGGUACCACCGAAGGAAGCACCGGCUAACUCCGUGCCAGCAGCCGCGGUAAUACGGGGGGUGCGAGCGUUAUUCGGAAUCAUUGGGCGUAAAGGGCGCGCAGGCGGUUUUGUAAGUCAGAUGUGAAAUCCCGGGGCUUAACCCCGGAAGUGCAUAUGAAACUAUGAGACUUGAGUAUGGGAGAGGGAAGCGGAAUUCCUGGUGUAGCGGUGAAAUGCGUAGAUAUCAGGAGGAAACACCGGUGGCGAAGGCGGCUUCCUGGACCAAUUAUGACGCUGAGGCGCGAAGGCGUGGGGAGCGAACAGGAUUAGAUACCCUGGUAGUCGACGCAGUAAACGUUGAACACUAGGUGUAGCGGGUAUUGACCCC